CGAGGCCACUCUGGAAAGCAGGCGCACCCGCGCCUCACCCAAGGUGAAAGCCGUGCCGAGCGCGCGGUGAAACUCUCAGGUGCCCAUGACAGAGGGGGAGUU
This 102-nucleotide non-coding RNA is filed under the name Streptomyces sp. RNAcentral's name for it is "Glycine sequence". It matches the Rfam family "Glycine riboswitch aptamer". Rfam says of the family: This family represents the bacterial glycine riboswitch. Glycine riboswitches usually consist of two metabolite-binding aptamers domains with similar structures in tandem. Lineage: Bacteria; Bacillati; Actinomycetota; Actinomycetes; Kitasatosporales; Streptomycetaceae. The record is from RNAcentral.